RNAcentral lists this ribosomal RNA (876 nucleotides) under uncultured archaeon. Its description in RNAcentral is "bacterial SSU rRNA". It matches the Rfam family "Archaeal small subunit ribosomal RNA", at positions 21 to 903 of the family's 1478-position model. The record is from RNAcentral.
GGUUACUGCUAUCGAGGUUCGACUAAGCCAUGCGAGUCGAAUGUAGCAAUACAUGGCGUACUGCUCAGUAACACGUGGAUAACCUACCCUUAGGACGGGGAUAAACCCGGGAAACUGGGUAUAAUACCCGAUAGAUCUCGAUUGCUGGAAUGCAUUGAGAUCCAAAGCUCCGGCGCCUAAGGAUGGAUCUGCGGCCUAUCAGGUAGUAGUGGGUGUAGCGUACCUACUAGCCUACGACGGGUACGGGUUGUGAGAGCAAGAGCCCGGAGAUGGAUUCUGAGACACGAAUCCAGGCCCUACGGGGUGCAGCAGGCGCGAAAACUUUACAAUGCUGGAAACAGCGAUAAGGGGACCUCGAGUGCCAGGUUACAAAUCUGGCUGUCGUGAUGCCUAAAAAGCAUUGCAUAGCAAGGGCCGGGCAAGACCGGUGCCAGCCGCCGCGGUAACACCGGCGGCUCGAGUGGUAACCGUUAUUAUUGGGUCUAAAGGGUCUGUAGCCGGCCGGAUAAGUCUCUUGGGAAAUCUGGCAGCUUAACUGUCAGGCUUUCAGGAGAUACUGUCUGGCUCGAGGCCGGGAGAGGUGAGAGGUACUUCAGGGGUAGGGGUGAAAUCUUGUAAUCCUUGAAGGACCACCAGUGGCGAAGGCGUCUCACCAGAACGGACCUGACGGCAAGGGACGAAAGCUAGGGGCACGAACCGGAUUAGAUACCCGGGUAGUCCUAGCCGUAAACGAUACUCGCUAGGUGUCGGCCACGGUGCGACCGUUGUCGGUGCCGUAGGGAAGCCGUGAGGCGAGCCACCUGGGAAGUACGGCCGCAAGGCUGAAACUUAAAGGAAUUGGCGGGGGAGCACCACAACGGGUGGAGCUUGCGGUUU